RNAcentral lists this long non-coding RNA (612 nucleotides) under Rattus norvegicus (Norway rat). RNAcentral's name for it is "long non-coding RNA NONRATT026033". Lineage: Eukaryota; Metazoa; Chordata; Mammalia; Rodentia; Muridae. The record is from RNAcentral.
AGAUGCUCUCCCUCAAAGGCCCUGGAGGUUCAGCAUGGAAACAGAAAGGCUGUAUGUAUCUCUCUGUGGUAGAGAAUGCAAGAAACUCUGGGCUCAGUCCCUGGAACUAGAAAAAAACAGAAACAAAAAAAUUAGAGGGGGAGAUUGCUCUCUGUGACCACCAGGGGGCAGUGUCACUCAUUCAUGCAGCCCUAGGAGGCUGCAGCUCUUCCAACCCCCACGAAUCUGAGAAUCCGUGGACAGCCCAGGAAAGAGAAGCAUCCAGCUCGGUACUCAGCAACCCACCCACACUCAUCCUCCAGCUUCUGCCCAGGGGCUCCCAGGUGAGAGCACCUAGAGUCUGUGCUCCAGAUUGGCCUACACAGUCCAGGGCUCUGCCGCCCAUCACCCUGUGCAGACAUCUGUGUCAAGGUCCAGCGGGUAAAUGUAGUGUUUAAGCACGUGAGUCCGGAAGAUCCAGGUACAGCUUUCUUCUGACGUAGGAGAGGCUCCCAGGGGAUCCAGGAGUGUCCCUUAUCACUCACCUGGGACAAUCUCCAACUCAGCAGAAUGACCAAGGCCACUCAGGCUCAACACUUGCUAAUUUUAUUAAUAAAACUGUACGUCAAGGAA